GAUGAACGCUGGCGGCGUGCCUAAUACAUGCAAGUCGAGCGAACGGACGAGAAGCUUGCUUCUCUGAUGUUAGCGGCGGACGGGUGAGUAACACGUGGAUAACCUACCUAUAAGACUGGGAUAACUUCGGGAAACCGUAGCUAAUACCGGAUAAUAUUUUGAACCGCAUGGUUCAAAAGUGAAAGACGGUCUUGCUGUCACUUAUAGAUGGAUCCGCGCUGCAUUAGCUAGUUGGUAAGGUAACGGCGUACCAAGGCAACGAUGCAUAGCCGACCUGAGAGGGUGAUCGGCCACACUGGAACUGAGACACGGUCCAGACUCCUACGGGAAGCAGCAGUAGGGAAUCUUCCGCAAUGGGCGGAAGGCUGACGGAGCAACGCCGCGUGAAUGAUGAAGGUCUUCGGAUCGGAAAACUCUGUUAUUAGGGAAGAACAAAUGUGUAAGUAACUGUGCACAUCUUGACGGUACCUAAUCAGAAAGCCACGGCUAACUACGUG
RNAcentral lists this ribosomal RNA (497 nucleotides) under uncultured bacterium. RNAcentral's name for it is "partial 16S ribosomal RNA". It matches the Rfam family "Bacterial small subunit ribosomal RNA", at positions 28 to 507 of the family's 1533-position model. The record is from RNAcentral.